Asparagus officinalis (garden asparagus) is the source of this 401-nucleotide long non-coding RNA. RefSeq lists it as uncharacterized. The transcript is spliced from 3 exons. The record is from RefSeq and is a predicted model, not a curated record. NCBI's taxonomy places the organism in Eukaryota, Viridiplantae, Streptophyta, Magnoliopsida, Asparagales, Asparagaceae.
CCUCUUGAUCAACAGAAGAAUCAGAUCUUCAAUCGAGCUAAUCACUGGAUUUUGAGGAAUUCGACUCGUUUGAAAGCCAAGAAAUUAUUAGUUCUCAAAAGACCCAAUUAGAACUUUAUUUGGAUGAACCAAGACUUGACCGUGGUGCUCAACUCGACAUUCUUUCAUUUUGGAAGACUAAUGAGCAUAGAUACCCCGAGCUCUCUCUAUUGGCAAGGGACAUAAUGGCGGUUCCUAUUUCUACGGUUGCUUCGGAGAGUACUUUCAGUGUAGGUGGGAGAAUCCUUAACCAAUACCGUAGCACUCUUAAGCCUAGCAAUGUGGAGGCUUUAGUUUGCACGCGUGAUUGGUUAUAUGGUAUCAAAGAUGACAUGCAACCGAAAUUAGAUGAGCUUUCCGAG